Tympanuchus pallidicinctus (lesser prairie-chicken) is the source of this 1823-nucleotide long non-coding RNA. RefSeq lists it as uncharacterized. The transcript is spliced from 3 exons. Lineage: Eukaryota; Metazoa; Chordata; Aves; Galliformes; Phasianidae. The record is from RefSeq and is a predicted model, not a curated record.
CGCCUCGCCCGCAGGCUUAGGUGGAGCGGCUGCAGAUGGCGGGAAGUCUCUGCUAGCCCAGUGGACCAGCUCUGCUUCUUCCAGGGGAUGAGCACAGGGCACCGAGCUCUUAUGCUUAGACGUUAUAGACAGGAAAAAAAAAAAAGCAUCGGUCUUAUAUGCAGAUAAUACUAAAAAUAGCCAGAGGCUUUAGAGUUUGUAGGUCUGUUUUGAUCUAGCCUUCAUAUUUUUGAGGUGCUGCCUUGCUGGCAGCUUUUCAUGUUUCUCUGAGUUGUGUCAAGAGGAACCUAAGUAGAACAUAAAUGUAGUCUUCUGUGAGGGAAGUCAGGCUGAACAGUCUGGGGAAAAAAAAGAGGAAAUAAAAAAGAACUGCAUAAAUGGCAGGUUGUGAUAUGCCAGAUGGGCUGCUUUGCCAGGGUCAGUUUUGAGCUAGGGUAAAAUGAUGGUAUGAGAUUGCAGAGGCAUUGUAAGCAGGAGUCGUUCAGUGGAAAUGAAGUGAUGCCUGUUAGCAAGAGGAGAAUUCACUGUCAUCUUUGAUUCCUACAGAAGUAGGGAGGUCAUGAAAAAUUGUACAAUGCAAUGGAGACAUAACAUGCUUUGCAUGCAGAGGUGUUCUGACGGUUGAGACAGAGAACAGAAAUCAUGUCAACUAGCACCAUGCAAUGGAACAUGGGAGGGACUGAUGGCAAACAAAGAAAAUAGACAUACAAAAGAAGGGAAGGAAUGUGUGUGCUGAAGAACUUCUGGGAUAGAGACCUCCUGCGUCGCUGAAAACAUUGACUGAAAGCUGAGCUGACAACUUGUGGUCUCAUCUUCAGGACUGUUACUUUUGUGGGAUUUUAGAAAAUCCUUAGCUGAGGAACUGUAACCACCUGUUGCUUUUCACUUUUGAACUUUGGAAUUUGUUUGGACUCUUCUCCUCUGUGCAGAUUGCCAUGCAUUCAGCAUCACUUCUUUGUUAUCAGAUAGCCCAAAUGAAAUUUUCUUCUUGAGGCUUCCAAUCAUGGCAGAGUUCAAGAUAUUCAAGGCCAGGUUGUAUGGGGCCCUGGGGAACCUGGGCAGCCUUAUCUUCUGCCUGAUUCUGUGAUUUCCAGUGGGGGAAAAAAAAAUCACAGCUUUUGCAUUUUAAAAAUAGUCAGACCUCUGUUCUUCAUCCCAGUUUAAUGGCCAUAGGGAAUCUAGAAGAGCUUUCUUCAACCCAUCCCAAAAAUAAAUGAAUAAAUAAGAAAGUAAAUAAAUAAAAUAAUAAUCUAACAGGCAGCAGAUGUUUGAACUUGUUUCAGCUGCAAUUAAAACAGUCUUUGUGCUACAGAAUCUGUUUUAAAACUUUGCAUAGUCCCACCAUUUCUGAGUCUGCUCAUGCAUUAGGGCUGGACGUGCACUUCCUCUUCUUCUUAGGCCCCCUUCCUGAACUCUCCUCUGUUUUAUAUAAAAGAACUUCAGUGAAUGUGCCUGGUUAGUUCUUCUUUGCUUCACCAAAGCAUCAGAUUCUACCAGCUGGUCUUUGCUUUUAUUAUGUUUGGGUUUUUUUGUUUUGCAAUUUCCCUGCUAAGUAACUUCUCAGCAAGUCUACCAAAACAAAUCAAAUGUGAAAGUUCUGCAUCAAGUCAGAGCAGUAAUUCCUCUGAGUAGUCAGAAAUAAUGUAUUAUUGUCACACUAUUAUAACUAUGAGCUGUUUUGAACUAUAUUUGCACCAGCACAGUUGCUUUUUGAUACAGAACUAUUUUCAAUCUUUUUUUGGAAUGCCUGUAUGUGUUAGUUUUUAAUUUUGAUUACUAUAAACAAAGCAGGGGACAAGAAAUUGACAAAGUGUUCAACAAGA